GCGGAGGGAUCAUUACUGAGUUUACGCUCUAUAACCCUUUGUGAACAUACCUAUAACUGUUGCUUCGGCGGGUAGGGUCUCCGCGACCCUCCCGGCCUCCCGCCUCCGGGCGGGUCGGCGCCCGCCGGAGGAUAACCAAACUCUGAUUUAACGACGUUUCUUCUGAGUGGUACAAGCAAAUAAUCAAAACUUUUAACAACGGAUCUCUUGGUUCUGGCAUCGAUGAAGAACGCAGCGAAAUGCGAUAAGUAAUGUGAAUUGCAGAAUUCAGUGAAUCAUCGAAUCUUUGAACGCACAUUGCGCCCGCCAGCAUUCUGGCGGGCAUGCCUGUUCGAGCGUCAUUUCAACCCUCAAGCUCUGCUUGGUGUUGGGGCCCUACAGCUGAUGUAGGCCCUCAAAGGUAGUGGCGGACCCUCCCGGAGCCUCCUUUGCGUAGUAACUUUACGUCUCGCACUGGGAUCCGGAGGGACUCUUGCCGUAAAACCCCCCAAUUUUCCAAAGGUUGACCUCGGAUCAGGUAGGAAUACCCGCUGAACUUAAGCAUAUCAAUAA
Molecule: ribosomal RNA, 552 nt
Filed under: Colletotrichum gloeosporioides
Lineage: Eukaryota; Fungi; Ascomycota; Sordariomycetes; Glomerellales; Glomerellaceae
Description: eukaryotic LSU rRNA
Rfam family: 5.8S ribosomal RNA (bases 188-341)
Source: RNAcentral